This 301-nucleotide ribosomal RNA is filed under the name uncultured bacterium. Its description in RNAcentral is "partial 16S ribosomal RNA". It matches the Rfam family "Bacterial small subunit ribosomal RNA", at positions 509 to 807 of the family's 1533-position model. The record is from RNAcentral.
CAGUAGCCGCGGGAAUACAGAGGGUGCAAGCGUUAAUCGGAAUUACUGGGCGUAAAGCGCGCGUAGGUGGUUUGUUAAGUUGGAUGUGAAAUCCCCGGGCUUAACCUGGGAACUGCAUUUGAAACUGGCAGGCUAGAGUCUUGCAGAGGGGGGUAGAAUUCCAGGUGUAGCGGUGAAAUGCGUAGAGAUCUGGAGGAAUACCGGUGGCGAAGGCGGCCCCCUGGACAAAGACUGACGCUCAGGUGCGAAAGCGUGGGGAGCAAACAGGAUUAGAUACCCCGGUAGUCCCUGUCUCUUAUAC